Long non-coding RNA from Cygnus olor (mute swan), 10405 nucleotides. RefSeq lists it as uncharacterized. The record is from RefSeq and is a predicted model, not a curated record. NCBI's taxonomy places the organism in Eukaryota, Metazoa, Chordata, Aves, Anseriformes, Anatidae. The transcript has 5 exons.
GAGAUUAAGGCCUCACAGGUUAGGCUGAACUGAUUUUAGUAAAAGCAGUUUAGAUACAAGCUGACCUUAAGAUAUACCUGAAAAAAAUUGAACUGGAACAUCCUUUCUGUUUCUUUGUUAUUUUUAUGUUUUAAACAGCAAGUGCAUGCGGUUGGUAGCAGCUAGUCAAAAAGAGGUCUUUUGCAAGCGGGCUGUUAGAUACGCGAACUGGUAUUUGUGGAUGAAAACACUUGCCUUGAGAGGCAUUCUAGAUGUGCGUUAUCCACCCCAGCAGUUUCCAACACAAAGUAUCAUAUCAUGCCUGGUGCUUAAAAGGAGGACAGAAGAAAUGUCACUUUUCCUAAGUGCAUUCCUUGCAUCUCUAGAACAGCCAUCUAGAUGAUAAUAACUUAACAAAAUUUAAUUUUCAUCAGUAAUAUUCUUGAAUUGCUGAGAUCAUUUGUCUUAGAUCAGAUGAAGUCACUCAUAAUCUAAGUAACUGCAAAUUCAGGAUUUCUAAGUAUGGAAAGUCAAUGUAUCCAAUUGUCCUGCUGUUUUUGCUAUUUAAUACAACUGACAACUGUUUUAACUUUGUGGAGUUUGUGCAAUGGUCAUAAUACAAAAUGAGGAGGAGGACAGGCUGCUUCCACUGCUUGCAGCUUGAUCAGCCUUUCACUGUGCAGUCUUCUUGCAUGCUGGUUUUCUAGGCAAUGUCGAGCUUGAUGCUGACUGCUUUUUCCUCCCUGCCAGAGGAGAUCUGCAAUGAAGCGGGUAGGAGCCUGUGUGCUCAGGCUGGUUGCCCCGAGGCUUGGGCUCUAAGUGACCACCUUUACAGCAAAGUGUCAAGUGUGUGAUGCUUGGUGGCACCUGCCCUGCUGUUAGCCUGCUGCACAAAGAUUAUGUGCCUAAAUGCAUUUGUUCUAGCUGUCCAGGCAGGGCUUGGUGAAUAAUAGCAAGGUGAUAGUGUUCACAGCACUGUGAACAACUUCAUUUUCUUUUCCAUACAAUAAGCUUUAUUAAGACCAUUAAUGAGACAAAUUAUUUGCGAGAGACAUUCCAGAUCACACCUUCUAUCGUUGCCUUAAAAUCCAAAAAUCUGUGUUACUACAGAUACUUCUCAAGUAGUGAUGAUGUCUUCUGUUAUUCAAGGUAUACUUGAAGUCUCAGGUCUCACACAGGUAACUUCUAUCUGCAGGUUGUUGUACACUUUUUCAGUCUCUUCUAGUCCGAUUCUUGUGUAGACUUCUUCAUGAUCUCACACCUGUUGCUGUAAUCUCUAGCAGUUUUUUGAUAGGUGGCCCUUGGCAAGGUGCACAGUACUCUGGAAGAAAAGAAAUUGAAGAUGUAUUGCAGCAGCAUCUUAUUUACCUUUCAAAAUGCUGCUAUAAAGAAAGUAAAAUGCUAUAGCGUUGUACUGGGUCUGGCCAGGAUGGAGAAUUUUCCUCACAGCAGCUCUCAUGAUGCUGUGUUUUAGAUUUGUGACCAGAACAGUGCUGAUAACACACUAAUGUUUUAGCUGUUGCUGGACAGUGUUCGAGGCCUUCUGUGUUUCUCACUCUGUUCUUCUGCAGUGAAUGGACUGCGGAUGUUCAGGAGGUGGGGAUGGGACCUGUAGGUACCAAAGAGAUGUUCCGUGAUGUAUCAUGUCAUGCUCAGCAAUAAAAAGGGGGAGGAGUGGGUUUAGGAAAAUUAGCCUUCUUUUGCUCAGGAACUUUCUGUGCCUUGGUCUGCCUGUGGGACGUGGUACAUGCUGUGGUCCUGCUCCUGACACGGCUCUUUUGCCAUAGGGGAAGCCCACGAGGAAGGCUGCCUUUCUGAAGACUGGAUCCAUUGAACUCAAGGGAAGUAAUCCCAGCUGACUUGGACGACUCUAAACCAGGUGACAGCAUGCUCACUGGACUAAUCAAAGGCCAAGGUGGUCUCCAGCCCUUUGAAGUCACAUUUCAAGUCACUGAGCUCAUCUUCUAGCAUCUGUGUGCUACUACUCCUAACAGCUCUGUCAUAGCUGGGAUUUGGCUCGGUCAGUGGAGUCAAGCGGCAGCUCUGAUAACUUCUUACUGUUCACCAACCCUGGAGGGAUUAUGCUGGAUUCAAUCUCUGGUAUCUAAAAUAAGAAAGACAGGCAUAAUGAUAAAAGAGCUACAGUUGUGCAGAAAGGCUAAUCACUGCUUAAGAUACUCUCUGAUUUAGCUUCCUAGCCCCACGGCCAUGACACUGGCAUACUGGUGCUUGUGGACAUUUGUCUAUCUUUGCAAAGGGAAAGUUCUCAGAGGGGGGUGCAGGAGUGUUAAAAGUAGACAUUCGUACCCACUACCUCUCUUUUUUUCUCGUGGACAAGAUCACUCACUGCCCAGGAUGCAUAUCUCUGUCAUCUGAACGUGGAAGACAUGCAUUCAGUAAUAGUGUUGGAAUUCAAACAGCAUGACUAACUGCCUUUUCACAGCAGUUUUGUUUGCUGUUCACUGCCCUUCAAGUUCAAUAUAUAUUAGGUGGAAACUUACCUUCCUCUUCCCCUUUGCAUCUCUGUUUCCAUGGUUGAUCCUGGGGAAAAAAAAAUGGUUACUGGAGACAAUGGAGCCUCAAAAAUAAUGGUGCCAGUUUGUCUAGUUAAAGGUCAGGUAUUGGUCAUGUAUUUCCUAAUUCUUUGGGUUUCUGUCACAACAUGAGAAGAUUAUUUGAUAUCCCAUCUCUAGUCAUGGCACUGGGAGCACCUCUCAGACUAACAUUCCCUUGAAACUCCCAAGGUGGUCUGUGAAGUGAUGACCCGAGUUCUGUCAUUGCUGAAUAAAGAUUUCUGUUCAGCCUGCCACAGCUUGUGCUGAAGGCACCGUGUGGCUUUGCCUGAGGAUUGCUCUACAGUGCUAGACACCCGCCAGACUGUUAGAAUUCAUUUGGAACAAUGCGGUGGAUGAAAUGUGGGCAUACACUGUGCAAAGUGUGCAAAACUAACAGGAGUCGCCAGGGCUGGGGAGAGAAAGCCUCCUGUUUUAUAAACUCAUUCACAUUUCACGACUGGAAAACAGGGAGACAAACAAACAAAACACAACAAGGUAUGAGGUGAGCCCGGUUGUUCAUGGCCCAGGGGAACAUGCUUACACAUGCAUGGUGUGAACCCUGAAUAUUCGUCUGUAGAAGGCACUUGAAGCAGUUCAGGUAAAUGUCACUUCGUGAUUCUGGCUUAUGGUGUUAUUUAACAUUUCCUUUGGGGUUACCGUCAUACAAAUAGCUACCAAUGACAAGACGUGCUAUCCACCAGCAAGCCUGUAGGAUGAUAACAGCACUUUUCUUUUAUUUGCUGGGUGCACCAUCCCCUAGAGACAGAAGCAUGUUACAGAGGACAGGCAGCACAUAAUAGCCUCAUUUAGGCUUAUGUGAAAAUUCUUGCAUGGCUGUCAGCAAUCAAGAGAGGGUGAAGUGGCAGCAUGAUGCAUAAUAACAGCAAAAAAGAAUGUCUGAAAGGACUGAAUUGAAUUCAUCCAUACUUGUAUCAGUUGGCAGUCGGUUUGGAUGCCAUAGAAAUAAUAAUGCAGGACUUUUCUUGUAAUGUAUUUGCUCUCUUCACAUGUGAUUUUUCAGACCAACAUGCUGACAGGCUUCUUUAGAUCUUUCUUGUACUGCUUCCACCAGUUGUGACAGGUAGUGUAAGUACCAUGACACCAGCUUCAGGAAGGUGUACCAAGUCCUUAGGAUGCUGGCCUGCAUCUCGAGAGGCUGGGAUGUAAUUCUCUGCCAUGUCCUUCCUGUGUAACCCUGGGCAAGUCUCUUAGAGAGGUUUCAGUUGCCUAAACAUAGUGCAUUUUAGGUGUGUUUGGGUAUCACCAGCCGCCGCUCCAGCAGGGCACGGGUCUCCUCUAAGCCCUGUGUCAUAUCUUUUUGCCCCUUGAGGAUGUCCCAGAUACCCAAGGGCAAUUUAAAAUGCUAGAUGCCAAAGUUUUGGUAACUGAACAGCAUCCUUCCCUCUUUCAGUGCUGUACUGGUAAAAUCAGGGUAACAGCAUUAGCCAGCAUUGGGAAGGGUUGAAGAUAAACUAGGGAGACAGAGCUGCUGCUCAGUACAAAAGCAUUGAUGGCAGUUUAAAUACAAAGGCAUUGACGAUUGCUUACCCUGUGGAAGCUGGAGGUAGACAUGAAAGAAGACCCUCUUUUCUGCCUCUCACUGCCAUCAGCUAAAAUCAAUAUUAUUGUGCAGAAUAUGUGAGAGAGGCUCUUGAAGAGGAGUCUCGCUGAAGUGGUGCACUGUAGCCUCCAACAUAAAUCUGUCUUAACUGACUAAAGUUAGCAGUUCAGUCCCGUCUGAAUAAACUACUAAGCAAGUAAAAAAAAUGCGUUACUUUACCUGCAUUAUUUCUUGGUUUAGAGGCUGCUCCUUUUAUUUUUUUCUUUUUUUAAUUGCUCUAAGGGAAUCCUUGGAUCAGGAUUGAACACAGUCCUUGGAAAAGAAGAGAAGCUGCAUUUGCAACAGUAUGUUGGCAUAGACAGUUUUUUGCACACUGAGUCAGUCUCCUUGGUGUUACGCUGGUGCUGCUCUACCAGUUUAGCAUAGGCUGAGAUGGAGUUGCACAUGCAGGAAGUAGAAAUAAAAUCUGAGCCCAUCUAUUCGAUAGCUUGAAAUCUGAAAAAUGGUCUAGUUUUUCCUAGACCAUUUCCUAUUCACCUCUCAACUGCAGAGCCCCGAGUUGAGCUGAUGACAAUCCUUGUAGGCAGCAAGUUUUUCUGGUUGAUAGAAACCUGACAUUUGUCUGGGUAGCAGAAGGCCACUGACUGCCAGGAGGGGAUUAUUUAGCUUGUCAUUAAGCCAGGACUGCACUCAUGCUUCCAUCUGUGCAAGCAUGUUUCUGCAGCAGUGCUUGGUAUUGCCUUUAGUGAACAAAGUGAACAGUGUGCCUCUUCUGGUGCUGGAGGGGCAGAAUUUUCAAGGACAGAGCUAGAUCGUCUUUCAGCAUGGAAGAGAAGCAUACACAGGCUGUUACCUGGAUGAAGAGAGCAUUACGCUGACAGGCUUAAUCCUUUCCACAAAAGAAUGAUGGGGAAAGACUGGGGACCAGAACUGAUGACAUUUACUUGCCGACGUUGUGCUGACAAUAUUGAUUGUACCACAUAAUGUUCACCCUACCUGCACCUCCUCCUUAAAGAGGACCCAAAGCACCCUGGAUUUCUGGAGCAAGCCUGCCACUGCUUCAUUCAGGGGAUCCUCCUUCCUCUCCAGCCACCCUGCUACAUGGAAAGGAGCAGGGAGAAAAAGACAUGACCAGCCCAGACACAGAGAAUAUCCCAGUAGCACUGCGUAAGAAAGCAGAUUUCUUCUUGUUAACCUGGCUAAAGAGAGGAAGAAAUCCUCUGUGGGUGUAAGAAAAAGAAGCAAGUGAAUGCUGACGUGGGAACAGCAUUAAUGCACUCUCUGGAGUCUUGGGACUCGUGGGGGGCCCUUGCCAUGGAAAGCACAAAUGCCCUGAGUAAGGGAUUCUGCAGGAUUGUCAAAGGAAAGGAUGUUGCGGAGAGAUUAUAUUUUUACCUUUUAGGCUCGUACGUUUAUACACUGACAGGGGAGAAUGUGGUUUAUAGACUGGUAUAACCAAGUGCAAACCAAAUGUAUCUUGGCACAGUCAAAUGUCUCUUUCAAAAACCUGCUCAGUGGCAAGAAGGGAAAUAGCUGCUAAGUGUAAAAAGAAGGAGCGAAGGACCUGUGAUUCAUGCUCUGAUCAUGUUCUGUCAGUAUGUCUGUGCAGUGGAGUCGUAUGAAUAACUAGUGGAGAUUGAUAAUAUGCUUAAAUACUGUUCCUGCUGCUAAGCAUUAGCAUGGCUGCUUGACAGCACAGCAGAGAGGCCAGACACGUUCACCAGGAAAGGCUAGGCAAGCUGCAGCGAGCUGCAGGACUCUGGCUCUUCCAGCAAUGUGUGAGCAGCAGAAUCAAAAAUGAAUUUAAUCCUUUGGCUAACGUGCCUUUUGGGUAGCUUUCCUACAGCUUAGUGUUACUCGAAACAAGCUAUGGCUUGAGUUUUUGGGGUUUUGUUCCUUUUCAGACUAUCUGUAAGGAUUAUAUUUUAAACCAAGGCCAGUGGCAACAUGUUGAAGAGUCAUGAAACUGCCUUGCUAGUCUUUGUACGUUAAAAUGCCCAACUGUUGCAUCACUGUCAGGCAUUUGCUCAGUGUUUUCAAUUAAUUGUUACUGAAAAGGACUUCUGAGAUGCACAUUUCUGUGUGGCAGAGCCAGUGUCUGGCUGCAGUACUCCUGUAAGGCAACAGAGCCAUGGUAAUUUGCACCAGCAAAGUACUUUUCCCAAUGCUGCUGUAUGUUAAAAGCCAUGGAAGUUUGAUGUGAUCCAUACAUGCAGAGGGCUUGGCCUUGUGUCUAACCUUGCUAAGAGCAUGUUCCAGCUUAGCCAGGGGCGCUGCACAUACUGUGGCCAGCAUAACACGCCAGCUCAGGGGAGCUUCUGCCUCUUCACGUUUGCCUCCCUUGGGCUGGAGGAGGCUCGGUGAUUUGCCCAGGUCAUAGCUGGCAGCCUUGGGGAACGUGCGCUGCUCUUCCAGGAUGGAGAAAAUGCCCAUGGGCUGAGGGGAUGGGAAAAAAAGCAUCAGGGUAUCAAUAGAGUCGUGCCACUGGUCCAUUUUCUGCACCAUGUUUUAUCCUUUCACCCUGGGCCUGGUCAUGUUCUUCUGGAGCUUGCCAGAAUUCAGACCCAUGAGGGAAGCAACUUUGUCAGCCACUGUUGGAGGGAAGAAAAUCACCCUUCCCCUUAAUGCAUACUCAGGAAAGUGGUUACAGGCUGUGCUUUCAGGGACAGGCAGGCUCUCCAGCCCCACUGGGGACAGACUGGGAAGGACAGAAGUCUCAGCUCUGUCCCUUCACACACACACCAUUCAGCAGAGCUUGCUGGAUGGAGAGGAGGCAAGCAUACACACCUCAGACAAGGUGUUACAGCAACUGCUCUGUAUCUGGGCUCCCAUAUGCUCCGAGAGGUAUGCGCCUCUUUGCUCCACCAUGGCUCCAAGAAACACCUGCAAAGCAGGGCUCUUCAACAAAGAAGGAUCAAGUCCUUAGCUAACAGCUCAACCAUCUGGCUAGGCCUGCUGCCCUGUGGCAGCUGUGAAUGCCAGCUCUGACUCUCAAUAGCACAUCUGUUCAUUUAAACAACAACAGCAAAAAAUCAGUGUGUUGUUUAAGGUCAUUUUAUAUUCCCUGGAAACAGAGUCUGGCUUUAGCAGCUUCUCCAGUCCUAACAAACUGGCUGAGCUCGUAGCACGCUGGCUUUGUCCUGGUGUGUAAGCUCUCAGCCUACCUUCUUGGUGUCCACCUCUGCCUGCUCCUCUCUUGGCUCCUGCUUGAACUUCGUAGCGCUGAAGUGCAUGAAACCCCUAGCCAGCUUGUAAACACAGAUCUUCUCUUCUGGACCGAAGCCCAGUACAUCAAAGGCCACCUGGCAGAAGGGGCAUAGAGCCACGCAAGGGGAUUCUUAAUCUGCACCAUAAACUGGAAUCCGGCCCAUAAUGCUAGACAUCUAAAAUAAUUUUCCAGCCCAUUGAAAUUUGACCAGCCAGGUCCCUUCAGACUAACAUGGGACAGAGUAGCUUAAAGUUGCUGUGAGCCAGCAUUCUGCUCGGCUCUCCUGUACUGAUUUAUGCUAGCUAAGGACCGUGUGCUUUGACUGCAGUUGUUCUAAGUGCCUCUGCGAUACCACAAGCAAAAUGCAACGUAUUGCCUAGGGUAUCAGCUCGUUCCACUCUUCACCACGCUUUUUAAAAUCAGCAGGACGUGAGCAGCAGCAUCCCCUCGCAGCGACUGUCCCACAUCUCAGCUGGCACAGGUAAGGAGGAGGCGUUAGCUCUGCUGGCAGCACUGUGCCUUGCUCCCACUGCGUGCCCAGGGACGGGGGAGCGCACGACUUGGAGUAUGCCGGAGAAUCUUGCAGACAAUGUGCUACUCGCGAGCCAUGAUUUGGGGCUGCCUGUCUUAGUGGCUAUAAAAAUCGUAGCUGCUUUGUACAAAAGGCUUGUUUGCAAUGUACAAAUCCUGGAAGCUGUAAAAUACCAACAGCUGCUAGAAAGGGCACUGUAAGUUCAGCAGCUGGAGACUGUUUGAUCUUUCUGUAGCUCAAGUCCUGCUUAUAAUAAUAGUCUCAGGAGCCAGCAGAUAUUCCCAAUAAGCUCUUUUCGGUAUCAGAUACUCUUCAAAAUGAUAUUAAAAAGGAAAAUGUGUGUCAAAACCAGACAAAGGGUCAAGUCUUCCUUUACAAAAGCUGCUCCUAGAGAUUACAUAUGCAUGUGAGAUGGACAGGUUCUAACCCAUGGUCCUUGCCUCAGUUUUCAGAUCUGUCAGUUUUCAGGCUUCAAACAAACACUAUAGCCAGCUUGUUUGAAAUCCUGCAAACCCCAGGCCAUUGAAUGUUAACCAGAAACUCCUACGUCAAGCUUGUUUGCUCUGGAGCAAAUGUUUUACAUUCAGGCUUCAACUUAGAGAGAACUGAACAAAUCUUUACAUUAUUGCUAGCUGCUCUUCCUGUAGUUCAUUGAUCCUCAGGUUGAAGAAGCUGAAUUUUAUUAUUAGGAGGACCUCAGGCUGGGGGCAGCGUUGUGUUUGCUGCAUCAAUUUCAUCGAUGUUUCUGCAGGCUAACAUUAUUGAGAAGUGGCUCUUCCCAUUGCCGAGGUUGUCUGCUGUGAUCCCACCUUGAUGCAUCGCGGAUUGGGAACGGGCACAGGAAGCAGUUUCUGCAGCAGGAGACAGACCAAGAGGUUAUUAUACCAAAUGCCCUAAUCAGGGCACAACAUGAGCUUUUUGGCUGCAGACUGAGGGUUCUUCUAGGUUUCAAUUCCUGAGCACAUUUUGAGUGUAUCACUUUAGAAAAAAAAGCCAUUUUGGGGAUGAGUUGCUCAGGCUACCGAGAUUCUGACAUAGCAGCUGCAUCAGUGUAAGUGGGAUUGAACACCCAAACCUUUUCAACAUUUAUUGAAAAACUUGUCCUGGCUGUCUUUUCUGUCCUGAGGAGAUGUAAGCAAUUGACAUGAGGCAGCUCAACCCUUCAGUUUGAAAAGGAUUGGUUUUACUUCAGUGGCAGCCCUGCCAGAACAAGAGGGACCUCGCUGCGCAUUGAUCAAGAUACAGGAAGACAGCUUUGUUUCCUCACCCUGGCCUGCCUAAGGAGAAGUCACUUGCAAUCCUCUUCUUCCUGGACAUGAAGCAACAACCCCUCCACUGCACUGAACCUGUUUCAAUCCCUAGCCAAGUACAUGGUUCCUGUGAGUAGGUUUCUUAUUCUGGAAACAGAGGAUUGAGCAGGGAAGGCUGCAUUAAAGGGAGUGAAUCACUUGAACACAAAGUGCCAUUUUCAAUAAAUUCAGGUUUAUUCUUGGAGAUAAUCUGGUAGAAGAGGUGAUAACCUCUCUCCUCUGCUUCCUGGGAAAUGACACGUCUUCUCUAGAUCUGAAACAUGGGGAGAAAUCAUCCAGGUGCAGGUGGCAGCCAGAGGUUGAAAAAUUGCAGCCCCAUGUCAGUGGGACUGUACGUUUUGAUACCAGUGAAACCAGCAGUUCAGCAGUGUCCUUUGGAAGUCCUGUAAGUGCAGCAUAGCUCAUAAUAUCCUUCACUGAUGCUCUCCGAGAACGCUUUUAAGCUUCACAACAGUUCCCUUUGGGAUAAGUUUUAGUACAGCUAUUUUGGCAGCUCGUGAUGUGGAGGCAAAAAGAUGCCGUUGCUUUUCCAGCUGUGUCAGUGCUGGGUUCAGGAACAGGUCUCUGGACUGACUCAUCCCACUGCUAAGCAUCCUCUGAAUUGCCAGUGCAAGGUUUGGAGAUUGAUCUGUGAAACGCCUCCCUGUACUGCCCUUUCUUUCUGAGAAGAGCUCUGGAAAAGAUGUUUUGUGUGCUGUAAACUCUCUGCCAAUACCUCCCGUCAGGCCCUAACAUGGUUAGUUUGACUUCUGGUAUUGACAAAAAGCACACUUCCCCAGACCUCGGGGUAGCGAUUCAUUCGGCUGUACCAAAUAACCAGACCUCGCCGGCUGUCCUAGCUGGGCAUUUUCAUCUUUGCCUCUCGGCUGAAGUUGUCUGUCCGCAUAGGUCUGUAGGUGAAAGGGAUCGUGUGAGUUCUUCAGACAAAUUUGGGUUGGAUCGAACCACCUUCACUGUUAAUUGUAGCUAGUCCAGGUGACUUCAAGAAGCACUGAUGCAAUCCCUGCCAGCAGAGCUCCAGCGAGCGUGCAGAAGGGCCCUGAGCCAGUGCUGCUGCUUGCACAGUGAGGGUCUGUCCAUGCCCUCGCUCUCCUGGCCAGGCUGGAAGGAGGGGCAAGCUGCCAGAAAACAACCUGAAACCUGCCUUGGCCCACGGUCCAGAGAGGCAAACCCAACAUAUGGUCUCUUGGUGUGAUGCAAAUCUGGGAUGAGUUGAAAGUAGGAGGGAUGCAGACAAUCCCACAUUAAAGAAUAACCGGU